This 253-nucleotide ribosomal RNA is filed under the name uncultured bacterium. RNAcentral's name for it is "partial 16S ribosomal RNA". It matches the Rfam family "Bacterial small subunit ribosomal RNA", at positions 524 to 776 of the family's 1533-position model. The record is from RNAcentral.
UACGAAGGGGGCUAGCGUUGUUCGGAAUUACUGGGCGUAAAGGGCGCGUAGGCGGUCCUGAUCGUCGGAUGUGAAAGGCCUGGGCUCAACCUGGGAACUGCAUCCGAUACGGCGGGACUGGAGUGUGGGAGAGGUUGGUGGAAUUCCCAGUGUAGAGGUGAAAUUCGUAGAUAUUGGGAAGAACACUGGUGGCGAAGGCGGCCAACUGGACCACAACUGACGCUGAGGCGCGAAAGCGUGGGGAGCAAACAGG